RNAcentral lists this transfer RNA (74 nucleotides) under Pseudomonadota bacterium. Its description in RNAcentral is "Proteobacteria bacterium (cold seep metagenome) tRNA-Arg". It matches the Rfam family "tRNA". From Rfam's summary of the family: Transfer RNA (tRNA) molecules are approximately 80 nucleotides in length. Their secondary structure includes four short double-helical elements and three loops (D, anti-codon, and T loops). RNAcentral also lists the same sequence under 1 other name. Lineage: Bacteria; Pseudomonadati; Pseudomonadota. The record is from RNAcentral.
GCCCCCAUAGCUCAGGUGGAUAGAGCAAGGGAUUCCUAAUCCCUGUGCCGGGCGUUCGAGUCGCCCUGGGGGUA